AUAAUUAAAAAAAAAAAAAAAAGUUACUAUCACACAAAGUCGAAAGUAGACAGUUCCUCUUGACCUGGAAUUGUCCAAGUCAGCACCACAGCUGGUUAAGGCAGCCCCUCUCUCUUUCCUCUUCUUAUUUUCUUGGCCUUAAGUCUGCUUAGGACUCCUGGAAAAUCAGGUUAAGGGAGAUCAGUUGUGUUCAUCAUUUUAAUACAAUGUUUAUUGAUCCACAGAUGUGUGCCGAUUGCUGGGAUAAAGAGAUAACUAAGAUUAGUCUUCCUAAGCCCUGCUUUCCUCAGUCAUAAACAGAACAAUGAUCAAAGCAAUGGUCACAAUAGUGCCUGGGGUGGCUGUCAUCUCUACGAGGCCUGGGUGCACUGACCCCAUUCCUGCAAAGGGAAGGCUCAGACAAUGGCAGUGUUGAUUACGGAGGUGAUGGCUGCAGCUGCAGACAGCUAUUUGGCAAAUUCUAUGAACUAUCCCUGAUCUGCCCAGGGGAGGCGUGUCUGACCCUUCACCAUUGGAAAUCAACUUAAUGGACUGUCCUGGAAAGGCAGUCAGUCUAGUCUAAACAGGAAAGACAACAUUCUUAUUGCUUGGAGGUUUACUCCAGUGAGAAUUGAGUGGAAUGACAGAAAAAACACCCAUUGCUAAGAGCUAUCUGGUAAAAGCUCAGAGAGGACAGAAAAUUGCAUUUCAUUUUCUGAUAGAACAACUUGUUACAAAUUUACAACCGUGUUUUCCGCCAAUAUUCUGCUUUCCUCUUUAAUGAAUACGCUGUGGUCUCAUGCAGCAUAGAGAACCUAGGGAAAUUAUCCUAAUUAAUUACUAAGUUACAAUUUUCCAGAUGAUGUUGAUUGCCGUUUUCUUGAAAAUGUAGACGUUUGGGAACUGUUGGAGACACACACACAUUCUCAGCCCAUCACUCCGCCCUGUCACAGUACACGCCAUGCCCAGCAAUGUGCAAGAGAAGAAAGUCGGUUAAAAACACCCUGUACUUCUGGACAAGCAUGGGGCAAGAGGGACGCGUUAACUGAAAGUUGCUGAAGAGAGGCUCCUGUCGGCCAGGUGUGGGCGGCCGCUGUCCAGAGAGAAACUCCUGCCACGUGUGUGAGGCUGACCGAGCCCCGCACCCCCCAUGCUCUCCUGGCUAAGCGGAUUCAGGGCUGGCCAACAAACCCAGACAGAGACCUUGGGCAACAUUACCAAAUCCUCCAGGCCUCAGCUAUGAAAUGGGUGUGACUGAAACCUCUUUCCAGGCUGUGGUUGAGACUAACUGCGUUAUCACACACAGCACGCUUGGAACAGCACCCAAUGGAUACUAACUAUUAAAAUUGUGCUUAAACCUGGUGUCAUGGACUACACUGCUAUGUGUAAUCUUAAUGCAAGAGUACACAGACUGAGAGCGCCACUUGAGACAAGGUCCCCCAAACGCCUGACCGAGUUGGAGAUCAGUGGUGGAAAUUUCAAAGGUAGAGGACACAGCUGCCGUCUUGGGAAUGGUGGACUCCUCCCAGAAGACAAUCAUUUAACCGGAAAAAAUGGUUUUAAACAUCAUUUAAAGUCUCUGAAAUUAUCCUAAGGGCAUACACAGAAUGAAAAACUAUUUAUUCAGGAAAAUCCAGUAAAUCUUAGUAACAACAGUGAGAGUCUGUGGCAUUUGAGCCUCAGCCCUCCCUCCAAGCCCAUCGAGAAAAUGGAAGCUCUGCUCUCUACAGAUGUGGAAAAGAAAAUGGGGGCCCUACUCCCCCAGUGCCCAGUCUGGGGCUCUGGCCACCUGUGUUGCCCACCUCCCAGCCCCGUGUUAAAAUGUUGAAAGCCAAAUAAAGAGAAAGCCUUGAGAACAGAAAGGGCACGUGACCCAUCGCGCACAAGGAGGCCCCGGUGAGACCCACCGCGCACGAGGAGGCCCCGGUGAGACCUGUCUCACACAAGGGGAUUCUGUAGAUCAUCGUAAAAGACAGUAUAACAUAUUUCUUCUUUCUUCUCAACUUAUUUUUAAAAUGCUUACAUAAAAGAAUAUGUAUAUAAUUACAUUAUUUGUAUUAUAACAUAUAGAAAUGUAAUACAUUUGAAAAUAGCAGCACAAAGAAGCCGGGUGGAACAAAGCUGUAUUGGAGAGAAAGCAAUGACAUCAGAUAGUAACCAGUAUCCACAGGGGGAAGAAAAGAGAAUCAGAAAUGGUAAAUAAGGAGAUUAAUAUAACAAACUUUAUAAACAUAUACUUGCUCUCCUUUCUUCUCUCAACUUCCUUAAAAGACUUAAGAUUAUAUACAGUAGUAAUUAUAACAAUAUAUUGUUGGGUUUGUAACAUAUACAGGGACAAUAUAUUAAACAACAGCACAAAAAAGAAGUCUAUGGAAUGAAACUAUGUUGUAUGAAGUCUAUGGAAUUGAACUCAUUCCACAGGAGUAUGUUUCUGUAUUUCACUGGUAUUAGGCUAGUAUAAAUCUAAAAUAAAAUUUGAUGUUAAGAUGUACAUUGUAAGCUCCAGAGCAACCACUAAGAAAAUAAACAAUACAGUAAAAAUGUCAUUUAAGGAAUAAAAAAUAUUACAUU
Long non-coding RNA from Pan troglodytes (chimpanzee), 2550 nucleotides. RefSeq lists it as uncharacterized. The transcript has 3 exons. Lineage: Eukaryota; Metazoa; Chordata; Mammalia; Primates; Hominidae. The record is from RefSeq and is a predicted model, not a curated record.